This 71-nucleotide transfer RNA is filed under the name Scolytinae sp. BMNH 1274282. RNAcentral's name for it is "tRNA-Lys". Lineage: Eukaryota; Metazoa; Arthropoda; Insecta; Coleoptera; Curculionidae. The record is from RNAcentral.
CAUUAGAUGGCCGAAAGCAAGCAAUGGUCUUUUAAACCAUACUAUAGUAAAAUAGCCAAUACUUCUAAUGA